GUGGGGAAUAUUGGACAAUGGGGGGAACCCUGAUCCAGCCAUGCCGCGUGUGUGAAGAAGGCCUUUUGGUUGUAAAGCACUUUAAGCGAGGAGGAGGCUACUCUAGUUAAUACCUAGGGAUAGUGGACGUUACUCGCAGAAUAAGCACCGGCUAACUCUGUGCCAGCAGCCGCGGUAAUACAGAGGGUGCGAGCGUUAAUCGGAUUUACUGGGCGUAAAGCGUGCGUAGGUGGCCAAUUAAGUCAAAUGUGAAAUCCCCGAGCUUAACUUGGGAAUUGCAUUCGAUACUGGUUGGCUAGAGUAUGGGAGAGGAUGGUAGAAUUCCAGGUGUAGCGGUGAAAUGCGUAGAGAUCUGGAGGAAUACCGAUGGCGAAGGCAGCCAUCUGGCCUAAUACUGACACUGAGGUACGAAAGCAUGGGGAGCAAACAGGAUUAGAAACCCCUGUAGUCC
This 451-nucleotide ribosomal RNA is filed under the name uncultured Acinetobacter sp. RNAcentral's name for it is "bacterial SSU rRNA". It matches the Rfam family "Bacterial small subunit ribosomal RNA", at positions 354 to 796 of the family's 1533-position model. The record is from RNAcentral. Lineage: Bacteria; Pseudomonadati; Pseudomonadota; Gammaproteobacteria; Moraxellales; Moraxellaceae.